Molecule: ribosomal RNA, 253 nt
Filed under: uncultured bacterium
Lineage: Bacteria
Description: partial 16S ribosomal RNA
Rfam family: Bacterial small subunit ribosomal RNA
Source: RNAcentral
UACGGAGGGGGCUAGCGUUGUUCGGAAUUACUGGGCGUAAAGCGCACGUAGGCUGAUUAGUCAGUCAGGGGUGAAAUCCCAGGGCUCAACCCUGGAACUGCCUCUGAUACUGCUAGUCUAGAGACCGAAAGAGGUGAGUAGAAUUCCGAGUGUAGAGGUGAAAUUCGUAGAUAUUCGGAGGAAUACCAGUGGCGAAGGCGGCUCACUGGUUCGGUACUGACGCUGAGGUGCGAAAGUGUGGGGAGCAAACAGG